GGGACGAGGAGCAGACAGGGCUUGUUCAUGACAAGUUACACCGUUACAGCUGUGUGACCUUAUAUCCAACGUACAACAAUAUACAACUGAAAGUCAUGGCCAAUUGGACAAAAGGGGAAGUACUAUUGGAACACAAAUGGAAUGGGGGCCAACAGCAUAUUGAAAUUGGCAAAUUCAAAGCGGACUUCGGAACGUUAUCAAAUGGCCAAUUGAGGCAGGAUUUCGUGCAUUUACAAAAUGGAAAACGAAGACAGGAAUUCGUACAUCUAGAAAAUGGAAAACGGGGUCGGAAGGAUGCAGAUAUCAUUCGUCAGAUUUCUAAAGAAUACAACGUACCUGAAACGGCAGUAAUCCCUGUGACUAGUUGUAAGGAGAAGGAGCUUCAGUUCAUUGUUUACAGCGACUCGUAUAACAGAGAAACAUACAAAACUUUCGAUGG
Long non-coding RNA from Pecten maximus, 439 nucleotides. RefSeq lists it as uncharacterized. Lineage: Eukaryota; Metazoa; Mollusca; Bivalvia; Pectinida; Pectinidae. The transcript is spliced from 3 exons. The record is from RefSeq and is a predicted model, not a curated record.